GACGAACGCUGGCGGCGUGCUUAACACAUGCAAGUCGAACGGUAAGGCCCUUCGGGGUACACGAGUGGCGAACGGGUGAGUAACACGUGGGUGAUCUGCCCUGCACUUCGGGAUAAGCCUGGGGAACUGGGUCUAAUACCGGAUAGGACCCUGGGAUGCAUGUCCUGGGGUGGAAAGCUUUUGCGGUGUGGGAUGGGCCCGCGGCCUAUCAGCUUGUUGGUGGGGUGAUGGCCUACCAAGGCGACGACGGGUAGCCGGCCUGAGAGGGUGACCGGCCACACUGGGACUGAGAGACGGCCCAGAGGCCUACGGGAGGCAGCAGUGGGGAAUAUUGCACAAUGGGCGCAAGCCUGAUGCAGCGACGCCGCGUGAGGGAUGACGGCCUUCGGGUUGUAAACCUCUUUCAGCACCGACGAAGCGCAAGUGACGGUAGGUGCAGAAGAAGGACCGGCCAACUACGUGCCAGCCGCCGCAGUAA
RNAcentral lists this ribosomal RNA (478 nucleotides) under uncultured bacterium. RNAcentral's name for it is "partial 16S ribosomal RNA". It matches the Rfam family "Bacterial small subunit ribosomal RNA", at positions 28 to 523 of the family's 1533-position model. The record is from RNAcentral.